AUGCAGAGCACAUCUGUUAAGAUAUAUCAUCAUCAUCCAUCCGUUGUGUACAAUGUCAGAAAGUUCUAAAAACAACUGUCAGAUCACGAGAGAUGCGAGCUGUGAACUGAGAGCUAAAAUACUUAUUAUAAUCCCAGAAUGAGAUCGUUACCGAGAAGCGGAAACAGUUGCGUCCUCCUAUGCAAAUAUGAAUAGAAUCAAUGAAGACUCGAGGCGCUCGGCGAUGAGUUGAAAUCGAGUAUUAUUUAUAGGCAGACAUAUGGACAGACAGCUCGUUUUAUAGCGCCGUGUGCAAUAAAUCGCGUAAAUAUGACAAUAAUUUAAACUCGUAUUCUAUGGUUCCUAAUCGUGAUCAUAAACUAUACAAAUUUAUGCACCUAUUAAAAGUUCCACCUUCAAUAUUCCUCGACAUAAGUCAAAGUCAAAAACUCAACGAUGGUUUCUCUUGACAUUUCAUCAGGCCACUUAAGUGGGCCAGGGGAAAUAAAAGCCACAGUUUUUAUUACCAAAAGAGUCAACCAAAAAUGAACUCGUACAUAAAGGAAAUUUCAAAACACAACAAACGUUUUCAGUUCCGUCCUGCUU
This is a long non-coding RNA of Drosophila albomicans, 585 nucleotides long. RefSeq lists it as uncharacterized. NCBI's taxonomy places the organism in Eukaryota, Metazoa, Arthropoda, Insecta, Diptera, Drosophilidae. The transcript has 3 exons. The record is from RefSeq and is a predicted model, not a curated record.